Molecule: ribosomal RNA, 254 nt
Filed under: uncultured bacterium
Lineage: Bacteria
Description: partial 16S ribosomal RNA
Rfam family: Bacterial small subunit ribosomal RNA
Source: RNAcentral
UACAUAGGGGGCAAGCGUUGUCCGGAUUUACUGGGCGUAAAGAGCUCGUAGGCGGUUUACCAAGUCAGAAGUGAAAUCUCCGUGCUUAACACGGAGCGGCCUUUUGAAACUGGUAUGACUUGAGUAUGGUAGAGGAGUGUGGAAUUUCCGGUGUAGCGGUGAAAUGCGCAGAUAUCGGAAGGAACACCUAUGGCGAAGGCAGCACUCUGGGCCAAAACUGACGCUGAGGAGCGAAAGCGUGGGGAGCGAACAGG